This 301-nucleotide ribosomal RNA is filed under the name uncultured bacterium. RNAcentral describes it as "partial 16S ribosomal RNA". It matches the Rfam family "Bacterial small subunit ribosomal RNA", at positions 509 to 807 of the family's 1533-position model. The record is from RNAcentral.
CAGCAGCCGCGGGAAUACGAGGGGGGCAAGCGUUGUUCGGAAUUAUUGGGCGUAAAGGGUGCGUAGGCGGUUUGGCAAGUUUGGUGUGAAAUCUUCGGGCUCAACUCGAAGUCUGCAUCGAAAACUGCCGGGCUUGAGUAUGGGAGAGGUGAGUGGAAUUUCCGGUGUAGCGGUGAAAUGCGUAGAUAUCGGAAGGAACACCUGUGGCGAAAGCGGCUCACUGGACCAUAACUGACGCUGAUGCACGAAAGCUAGGGGAGCAAACAGGAUUAGAUACCCCCGUAGUCCCUGUCUCUUAUAC